UGUACUCCAGUGAGAGGGCAUUUACAUGUCACUCUAUGUGUCAGUCUAUUGCUUUUCCUGCUCAGCAAUCACUAAACCAGGCAAUUGUUAUUUUCCUCUCUAAUGCAAAUGGAGCCAUGCUAGCAGCAUGGUUCUAGGAAUGGCAAUCUCUUUAACUACUGAACUGCCACCAUAUUAUGUACAAACCAUUUGCUGUGCCAAAAGGAUAAAUUCUAAGGACCUGCACCCCUGGGUCCCUGGAGUCCGGCAGGCUUGGCUCAGCGGCAGAUAGACAUUUCUGGGAUAGGCAUCUACUGCUCAGGACCACGCAAUCAUUUCCAUUUUACCCUCUGUUGCACAGGCAAGAUAAGACACCUGCGUAGCCCCGCUAAUCAGAUGAGCUUCAACAGAACUUUAUCAUUGACAUUUACCACUGUUUACCCAACUAAUUUCUCUUAACUGCACUGCUGAACUUUUAUCUACAAAAUACAUACACCACCAGAAAAGAGCAAGAAGCAAACAUGCAAAUUCACAAAUAUGCGAAGAAAGAUAAAAUAAGGUGGAAAAAACUAAAAGCUUUUUUUUUUUCCU
Micropterus dolomieu (smallmouth bass) is the source of this 570-nucleotide long non-coding RNA. RefSeq lists it as uncharacterized. The record is from RefSeq and is a predicted model, not a curated record. Lineage: Eukaryota; Metazoa; Chordata; Actinopteri; Centrarchiformes; Centrarchidae. The transcript has 3 exons.